Molecule: non-coding RNA, 264 nt
Organism: Peromyscus maniculatus bairdii (prairie deer mouse)
Lineage: Eukaryota; Metazoa; Chordata; Mammalia; Rodentia; Cricetidae
Source: RefSeq, a predicted model, not a curated record
CAGUGUACUGCCCAGUGUCUCAGUUGUCUUCCUGUUGCCUGCAAGAUGUAGGACUCUCAGUUUUCUUCACAGGAAGAACGUCAGAAUGCACUACAACAGAAAAAUCAUCUUAUUGAUGGAGUAAAGAUCCAUGUUCAAGCUCAGAAAUCAAAGGUUUUGCAAGGGGUUCAAACAUCUGGUGGAGAGAAAGGUUUCCGAGAUUAGUGUACUAUUCAUUGAAUAAACAUAACCGACUUUAAAAUAAAACAAAACAUGGAAACAUCA